UGGGCUAUGGUCUAAUUGGCAAGGCACCGAACUGUUAAUUCGGAUGAUUCUGGUUCGAGUCCAGAUAGCCCAGC
Molecule: transfer RNA, 74 nt
Filed under: Fidelibacterota bacterium
Lineage: Bacteria; Pseudomonadati; Fidelibacterota
Description: Candidatus Marinimicrobia bacterium tRNA-Asn
Rfam family: tRNA
About the family: Transfer RNA (tRNA) molecules are approximately 80 nucleotides in length.
Source: RNAcentral